Molecule: small RNA, 40 nt
Filed under: Plasmodium falciparum 3D7
Lineage: Eukaryota; Apicomplexa; Aconoidasida; Haemosporida; Plasmodiidae
Description: Pfa-starR6850
Source: RNAcentral
ACUUCUACUAACAUAAGUUUAAACUUGACUAACUAAGGUC